GGGGAUGUAGCUCAGUGGUAGAGCUCCUGCUUUGCACGCAUGAGGUCCCAGGUUCAAUUCCCGGCGUCCCCC
This is a non-coding RNA of Cricetulus griseus (Chinese hamster), 72 nucleotides long. Lineage: Eukaryota; Metazoa; Chordata; Mammalia; Rodentia; Cricetidae. The record is from Rfam.